Molecule: small nuclear RNA, 107 nt
Filed under: Catagonus wagneri (Chacoan peccary)
Lineage: Eukaryota; Metazoa; Chordata; Mammalia; Artiodactyla; Tayassuidae
Source: RNAcentral
GUACUCACUUCAGCACCACAAAUACCAAAACUGGACUGAUACAGAGAAGACUAGCAUGGGCCCUGCAUAAGGAAGACACACAAAUUCGUGAAGCGUUCCAUAUUUUU